CGCGAGAGGUCGCCAUUGAAGCCCCGGCGUUGAACAGCUGCAGCUCGUAUCAAGUCCGUAUUUUAUAUUUUAAACUGCUAGCUACACACCUAUGCUUAAAUCCAAACGGACUAAACCAAGUGGAAACGCUUUGGUAGAUGCCACGUGCAAAGUCAUGCCACCAUCAAUGGGAAUGGCACAUUGGACACGUGGCUUUCAACUCCAGCGAGGUGGCGGCACGGAUCUCUGCAUGUCUGACUGACAUCUCCCAGUGGAUGUCCGCCCAUCACCUGAAGAUCAACCCCGACAAGACUGAACUACUUCUCUUCCCUGGAAAAAACUCGCCCACUCAGGACCUGACUGUUAACUUUGGCGAACACCGUUAACAUCAGGAGAAUACGACCCCUUCUCACUCAGAAGGCGGCGCAGCACACGGCACAGGUUGGCGUCACAAUCAUGGCAAAGUUGACUGGACCACAGCGGAAAAUUAUCCUUCCAGAGAAGAAGUUAUUUACUUCUACAACGAAUGGAAGAGUUACAACUUCCAGAUGACAGCUCUCCGCUCAUCCUUCUGGGCAACUUGAACAUCCGACAGAACUUAUGUGACCUACUGCGUUUUAUUUUCUCCUUUAGCUGUCAUUUAAGUAUUAAAAUUCGCUGUAUUUUUGCAAGAGAGGCACCAAUCCUAUUUGAGUGACGUUUCGAUUGUGAAAUUGUAUUGGACCAUAUAGGUCAUCUGCAGAGCGUUGGCCCCUGGCGCAGUAAACCAGGGUUUGAUUCUUGGCAUGCACAAGACUCCUCAUGUGACUUAAAAUGAAUCCAGAAUGCAAUAUUUGUUCAGUAUGCAAGGGCAGUGAUUUAUUUAGUCAUGUUUGGUCAUGUUUUGGUUUUUUUACAUGACAAUAUGGUUUGGUACAUGCUGAGUUAAUGAAUAUACAUUCUAAAUUGCAAUGUCCAUAUGUGAAUAAGAGUUGUAUACGUUUAUCAUAGUCAACAUGGUGUGGAAAUAUCCCUUAUGUAGUUGGUCAAUGGGAACUAUAGUAGGCCGUAAUAACAGCUAAGGUAAUUACAGGUGGAUAUUUCUGGGAAUUAACCUUAAAUGAGACUGCAUUUAUGAUAUCUAAGAUAUACAGGACAAGAAAAAUGCACUGGAUGUGUAUAUGUGUUGAAUCAAUUAUACAGACGCAAACUGGAGAACGAGACAAGUGUUGCUGUGAUACUUAUUGUGGUCAUCGUGCCCGAGACCCGUAACAAUUACUCCGCAGGUCUUUUGCAGCGGGGCAACAGCCCGGCGUCGGUGGAUUCCGUUCGCGAGGCCGCAGAUUCGGGUUUGAAUGGCAGCCCCGAGAAUGAUUUGUUUAGUCUCUUUAGUCUUUUUUGACCCGCGAGCCCGGCCGACCGCCGCCCCACCCCGACGUGCGAGAAUAGGCGAAGGCCCGUUCAUCGCUGCUUGCAGCUUUAAUUAUUAUUAUUAUUAUUAUUAUUUCGCCACUUCGAACGCACUUUCGGGGACUUCAUCAUGUUCAAAAACUCUUGAAUUUUUGCACGCGCAUCAGAAGUGCGCAAAAUUGACGUAUGAUUCGGGUCCCGCAAUUAGAGGAGAGAAAAAAGAACUCUCUAGCGCCCCCCAAAGUGGCCGCAAUGUUAAUUUUUUUUUUUACUUUUACCGAUCGACUUGGAACCUUUUCACACAGGUUCUCUUGGAUGUGCUGUACACAAAAAAAAUUAUGGUAUGCAAAUGCGCCUACCGUUUUAUGGCCGCCAUUUUGAAUUUUGUGAAAAACACGUUUUUGCGAACUCCUCCCAGACGCUUGGUCCGAUUCUUACGAAAUCUUCGGCAAAAUGAUCGUUGGCUCGAUGCGAUCAAAAGUUAUUGAAAGAAUGUUGAUAUCUCAUUUUUCAAUAAAGUUAUGGACCAAUGAAGUUUGUAGGUUUGUGUCCUGAAAGUUCAAA
Molecule: long non-coding RNA, 1932 nt
Organism: Pungitius pungitius (ninespine stickleback)
Lineage: Eukaryota; Metazoa; Chordata; Actinopteri; Perciformes; Gasterosteidae
Exons: 4
Source: RefSeq, a predicted model, not a curated record